Molecule: long non-coding RNA, 1646 nt
Filed under: Callithrix jacchus (white-tufted-ear marmoset)
Lineage: Eukaryota; Metazoa; Chordata; Mammalia; Primates; Cebidae
Description: lncRNA (ENSCJAG00000063359.2)
Source: RNAcentral
UUUUUUGGAGAAAUGUACAUUUAAGUUUAUAUAGUUUGGCUCGGUGUCCCAUCCAUAUUUCAUCCUGCAGCUCCCAUAAUUCCACAUGCUGUGGGAGGGACCCAGUGGGAGAUGAUUGAAUCAUGGGGGCAGGUCUUUCCCAUGCUGUUCUCCAUGACAGUGAAUGGGUAUCAUGAGAUCCAUUUUAAAAACAGGUGUUUCUCUACACAUGCUCUCUUCUUGACAGCUGUUGUCCACAUAAGAUGUGACUUGCUCCUCCUUGCCUUCCACCUUGAUUGUGAGGCCUCCCCAGCCAUGUAGAACUGACAACUUUUCCAGACCUCCCUGGCUGGGUCGAUUCUCCUACAGCACACAUUUAUAGUAUCAGAAUGCAUCGCAUACACACAACAGAUUGCAUUAGCAUAUAUUUAUAAUAUAAAAAGUUAUAUUCGAGGAGGGGACUCAAGAUGGCGCUGUGAGAACAACCCAGGAUUGGAGCCCGCAUUGAAUUCGCAAACGGUGAGUCAGUGCUGCAUUUCCAGACUGAUCUUUGUUGCCCACAGAACAGGGAAACUCCCAAGUAUAAAAAGACACGGGACGCCAGGCAGUAGGUCUGCCUGGCAAAGCCGGCAGCCGGGGCUGCGGCGGCCGGCCCUACCCAGCAAUCCCCACAGGGCGCGCUUGUCCGGGUGCCUUGUUGAACUGGCAACCUGAGACUUGAGAGGGCUGGACUUGAGACUGAACGAGACUUGCACAAUAGCCCAGCCCAGGGGAUUAUAGGGACAGAUCGUUUGGGAUACCCAGUGGGACGAACAAAACCGCGAUUCCAAACUAUCCCGGGCAGACGGUCCGAGAAGCUCUGUGGGGGAGGGGCGUCCACCACGACGGAGGCAACCCGCCCCAACUGAGAUACACGCCCACUGCUGAGGCAGCCAGCCGUUGCCGAGGCAACCCGCCCCAACUGAGAUACACGCCCACUGCUGACGCAGCCAGCCGUUGCCGAGGCAACCCGUCCCUACUGAGAUACACGCCCACUGCUGACGCAGCCUGCCAUUGCUGAAGCAACACGCUACAACGAAGAGACUCCGCCACAGGGUGUGGCGGAGACCACAGCAGAGCCGGCAGGAACAGCGCCAAUCACACAACAGCAGGGCGGAGCCUCGGCAGCCAAACAGUGGCUAGUCUGCCUUUGAGCUGGGCAGGACACCUGAUCGGACAUCCAAAAAUAAAGCCCAAACCCCUCAACACAGAGCAUUUGAGAAAAAAAAAAGGGUUGUUUAAUGAGCUGUGUUGCAGCAGAAUCAAACAUAGCAGCCUAACAGCCCUGAAUGAACAACAGAGUGCACAGCUCAGCAAUUAAACCCCUAUAAAGUACAAACUGUCUCCUCAAGCAGCUCCCUGACCCUUUUUUAACCAAAAGACUGUCAUUAGGCAGGCAUCAUCCUGGGACAAAGAGAGCAGAAAAAGAAACUGGUAGCAUCCCUCGCUGUGCCACGGCUACUAGAGGUGCACCCCAGACAAGCAGGAUCUGGAGCGGACCUCAACAGUCGUACAGCGAAGGGGCUAGACUGGUAGAAGGAAAACCAAGCAACAGAAAUACUUCAUCAUCAACAUUCUGGGUGUCCACUCAGAGACCCAAACGAAAAGUCAGCAACUACGCAGACGAC